RNAcentral lists this ribosomal RNA (411 nucleotides) under uncultured bacterium. RNAcentral describes it as "bacterial SSU rRNA". It matches the Rfam family "Bacterial small subunit ribosomal RNA", at positions 370 to 772 of the family's 1533-position model. The record is from RNAcentral.
AAUGGGGGAAACCCUGACGCAGCGACGCCGCGUGAGCGAAGAAGGCCUUAGGGUUGUAAAGCUCUGUUUUAAGGGACGAAUGUCGAGGGUAAUAAUACGAUCCUCGAAUGACGGUACCUUAAGAGGAAGCCCCGGCUAACUACGUGCCAGCAGCCGCGGUAAGACGUAGGGGGCGAGCGUUGUCCGGAAUUACUGGGCGUAAAGAGCACGUAGGCGGGACUUUAAGUCAGGUGUGAAAUACCGGGGCCUAACCCCGGGGCUGCACCUGAAACUGGAGUUCUUGAGGGUAGGAGAGGGCAGUAGAAUUCCUGGUGUAGCGGUGAAAUGCGUAGAAAUCAGGAGGAAUACCAGUGGCGAAGGCGACUGUCUGGACUGACCCUGACGCUGAGGUGCGAAAGCGUGGGUAGCAAA